This 524-nucleotide long non-coding RNA is filed under the name Bos taurus (domestic cattle). RNAcentral describes it as "long non-coding RNA NONBTAT010682". The record is from RNAcentral. Lineage: Eukaryota; Metazoa; Chordata; Mammalia; Artiodactyla; Bovidae.
CCUAGUGCAUUUUGCUCCUAAAGUAGCAUAUUCAGGAGGACUUUUUCCUUUAUUCUCCAUCUAAUUAGUCAUUGAUUCUCCUUAAACUGAAUGGAUGAGAAAACAUAUUUUGUCCUGUGUUUUACUUUUAAAGAUUUGAUCAAAGUAUUUUUCACUACUUGUUCAUCUUUAUCACACAGUUCCUAUAGCAAAUACAAGUCUUUUCUUCUUCUGUAUUUGUUCUGUUCUUGUUGGGAAUGGGGUCUAUAAAAAUUAUUGUUACCACCUCAAAGCUUUAUUCUUUAUAAUGUAAAGAAAACAUCAUUUUCAGCCAACGCAAAUGCUUUAAUUCAAAAGAUUUAUUAACAUGACAAAGCAGCUUUUGUUCAGCUAUGGCUUUGAGCCAUCUAAAGGAUUUUACUUUGUCUGGGAUUUGCCAAUUUCAGGAAAAAUGAAAAAUUUUGAACAGUUAGAAGGGGAAAUAUUAAUAUGAUUAAAAGCUAGAGAAGAAUAGAAAAAAGUAUAGAAGAAAGAAAAUCAAAAUA